UGGGGAAUUUUGGACAAUGGGCGAAAGCCUGAUCCAGCAAUGCCGCGUGUGUGAAGAAGGCCUUCGGGUUGUAAAGCACUUUUGUCCGGAAAGAAAUCCUUGGCUCUAAUACAGUCGGGGGAUGACGGUACCGGAAGAAUAAGCACCGGCUAACUACGUGCCAGCAGCCGCGGUAAUACGUAGGGUGCAAGCGUUAAUCGGAAUUACUGGGCGUAAAGCGUGCGCAGGCGGUUUGCUAAGACCGAUGUGAAAUCCCCGGGCUCAACCUGGGAACUGCAUUGGUGACUGGCAGGCUAGAGUAUGGCAGAGGGGGGUAGAAUUCCACGUGUAGCAGUGAAAUGCGUAGAGAUGUGGAGGAAUACCGAUGGCGAAGGCAGCCCCCUGGGCCAAUACUGACGCUCAUGCACGAAAGCGUGGGGAGCAAACAGGAUUAGAUACCCUGGUAGUCCACGCCCUAAACGAUGUCAACUAGUUGUUGGGGACUUCAUUUCCUUAGUAACGUAGCUAACGCGUGAAGUUGACCGCCUGGGGAGUACGGUCGCAAGAUUAAAACUCAAAGGAAUUGACGGGG
RNAcentral lists this ribosomal RNA (571 nucleotides) under uncultured bacterium. Its description in RNAcentral is "partial 16S ribosomal RNA". It matches the Rfam family "Bacterial small subunit ribosomal RNA", at positions 355 to 918 of the family's 1533-position model. The record is from RNAcentral.